Molecule: ribosomal RNA, 492 nt
Filed under: uncultured bacterium
Lineage: Bacteria
Description: partial 16S ribosomal RNA
Rfam family: Bacterial small subunit ribosomal RNA
Source: RNAcentral
AGUGAACGCUGGCGGUAGGCCUAACACAUGCAAGUCGAACGGCAGCACAGUAAGAUCUUGCUCUUACGGGUGGCGAGUGGCGGACGGGUGAGGAAUACAUCGGAAUCUACUUUUUCGUGGGGGAUAACGUAGGGAAACUUACGCUAAUACCGCAUACGACCUACGGGUGAAAUCAGGGGAUCUUCGGACCUUGCGCGAUUGAAUGAGCCGAUGUCGGAUUAGCUAGUUGGCGGGGUAAAGGCCCACCAAGGCGACGAUCCGUAGCUGGUCUGAGAGGAUGAUCAGCCACACUGGAACUGAGACACGGUCCAGACUCCUACGGGAGGCAGCAGUGGGGAAUAUUGGACAAUGGGCGCAAGCCUGAUCCAGCCAUACCGCGUGGGUGAAGAAGGCCUUCGGGUUGUAAAGCCCUUUUGUUGGGAAAGAAAAGCAGCAGGUUAAUACCCCGCUGUUCUGACGGUACCCAAAGAAUAAGCACCGGCUAACUUCGUG